CAUAGCUGCUGAUUUGCCUGAGCAGCCCAUGGGGCACCUGCAGCAGCUUCCUGGGCUCGAAGGAUUGUGGCUCAAAGGCAGCUAGUGGCCUGGCUUUACAGGGUAAAGGUAAUGAAAUUCACAGGAUGACUUCAAGCCCUAAGCUCAUGGUAAAUGGAAACACCCGAUAUGGCUCCAUUGUCACCUACCACAUGGAGGUCCUCACUACCAAGUGGAAGUAAUGAUGUUACCUGCCUCUGAGAGUGAGUCAUUCUUGUGUUCACGGGCUAAGAUUUUCUCUUGCAG
Molecule: long non-coding RNA, 285 nt
Organism: Pteropus alecto (black flying fox)
Lineage: Eukaryota; Metazoa; Chordata; Mammalia; Chiroptera; Pteropodidae
Exons: 3
Source: RefSeq, a predicted model, not a curated record